Pyrus x bretschneideri (Chinese white pear) is the source of this 2056-nucleotide long non-coding RNA. RefSeq lists it as uncharacterized. The record is from RefSeq and is a predicted model, not a curated record. Lineage: Eukaryota; Viridiplantae; Streptophyta; Magnoliopsida; Rosales; Rosaceae. The transcript has 2 exons.
UCAAUAUGCUAGAACUGAGUUACUAACAACCUAUGGCUUUAUACAAAAAGUAAGCAAUUUGAUGCUAGGUGUCCAAAGUUGAUUGGAGAGAAACUAAGAAAAAAAAAUUAAAUAAGAAAAGUAGCUUGGUCACGUGGUGUGAAAGGAAGAGAGAGAAUGUCAUCGUAUUCCUCUUUUCAUCUUCGCCAAACCAAGAACCAGAAGAAACCCAAAAAGGCCAAAAAAAAAAAAAAAUGCAGCUGAUCUACAUUGUAGUUUUGUAUCUUGAAAUUUUGCGUGUUAUUAUAUUAUCAAAUGAGUAAUGUCCUAUACAAGAAACGUUGGAUGACCCUUCUUAAAAUAUAUGCUGCUACUAUAUGCUUAUUUUUGUUGGCUGUCGAUUUUGCUUUACUGCAAGUUGUUUAUGUGCUUUCUUUUUGUAUGCAUGGAUGAACGCGUUUUAGUCAGUGUUUAUCUUUGAUCUAUGAUAUAGAUUGCUGCUGUGAUUACAUGAGUUUUAUGCUCAUUUUUAACAAUUAGGCAUCAAAGUUGAUCUCUCACUUGGAGUUCACAUUUUUUGCACAUCAUGCGAAAAGGAAAUAGAAAUAACAAAAUAAAUCAGAAGAUACAGCAUCAUACUUCUGGCACUCCCCACAGCAGAGCGCAGGCUUUUUUGCCAGUUCAAAACUAAUUGACUGAAUAGUAAAAGAUAGUAAAUUGGGACUGUAUAUGGUUUACUGGUUGCAUAAUGUUCUUGUAAGGAAGGGUGGUGUAUAAUGUGCACUCGAGUAGGAACGACAGAGAGAUGGCAACAAUGUUCUUAGAUCCUACAUUUUACAUGUUUUUCAAACGUUGUGGAACAAAUGGGCUUUCUGCUGUUUGGUUUUGAAUAUUUAUUAUCGGUUUGUUGCAGUGAGUUCUCCAUGCAUUUCAAUGCUUCUCGUAUUAAAGCUCUUCAGGCUCAUGAUGUUGUGGUUAACUCCAUGAAGGAGGUAGCAUCCAAGAAGCUUCUGAAUGUGAGCCAAGUAAAAUGAUAAUUAGUUGUCCUAUGAGAAAAGCCAAAAGAUAAUUAGGUGCAAUUUGUGAUUAAAAAGUAGUAUUAAGGACAAAGAAUUGCGUGCCUCAACAUGUGAUGCUCGUCUAUUUCCUAUCAAGUCAACAAUUUGAUGCAGAUGCAAGGCUUUCGAUGCAGAUGCAGGGCUUUUGAUUAGGAAAUUAGUAUUAUGGACAGAAUUUAGAUGCAGAUGUAGAUGCAGAGCUUUGGAGUUUGCGUGUUGUUUUUGGUAAAUUGUUAAUAAAUAAUUCGAAAGCUUGGAGCCAAAUUCAUUAAUUGUUUGUCGAUAUAGGUACUUUGCAAUGGCAGUAGCAAGGUGCACUGGGUUCAGUUGUUUGUUUCGGCUCAGUUUUUUUCUUUCUUUUUUGUUCAGUUGUUUGGUUUGGCUCAAAUGGUUCUAUUAGUAUAAUUCUGAUGGCUUGGGGAUGCUGGAAAAAGAAUAAUCUUGGAGUACAGGAAAAAGAAUAUCUAACUGUUUGCAUUUUUGUGUUGCAGAAGCUCUGGUUUGGGCCCUUGUGUAUGAUUUUAACAUUCUCAGUCGUACGACAAUGAAUUUCACUUUGUGUUCGUCAUCUCAGAGCUCAGAUACCCUUUGGUUGAGGGGUUGCCAUAUACAAACAAGAAUAUGCUAGAGGCUGAACCUUUUCUGAAGGUUGAUAAGUUCAAUAAGAAGGAUAACACUCAAGUAUCUAAUCAUGAUGCUGGAAAGCUCGUGAUGCCUAGCAAUUUGAUGCCUCGGCGCUUGAAUGGAUCAUAUGUGGGAAAGAAUAACCUCAAGGAACCUGGGCGGAAGCUGGAAUUUUUGCUUGGUUUGGCUCAAAUGGUACACUUUUGAUGGAGGAGGCCGAGCGGAUCACUAGCAGGGAGCAUAGAUUGAAAAAGGUUGCUAUUAUUUCGGGAGAAGGAACUCGUCGUUACUAUAAGAAAUUAGGCUACAAGCUUCAAGGGCCUUACAUGGUGAAACAUUUUCUAAACAAGUUGUAACUUCCAUUGCAUAACCAAGACUAUUUGAUUAUGAUUCCA